GAAAGGUGGUCAGGAUGUCAUGACACUGUUUUAUGGCUUGUGACUUCCUGCUGGUUUACCUUCUCUUUCAUGACCCAUCACCAACAGAUGUGAGUACGCUUCAAAAAAAGAGAGAGGAUUCCUGACAAACUUACAUGCUCAUUGUGCAGCGAGGGAGGGAAUGCUAGAAAUAUAAACUUGCAAGAAUUUCAUUUUACUUGGGUCAAUUUUAUGCUGCAUGUUCAUAGUUCAUUUACAAACAUGUUGGCAGUCUAUACAUUAUAUUAAUUAAUGGAACCCUUUUGUGUUGAAGCAAAAGAACUUUUUAUUAAAAAAUGCGCAAUCUUGAAGUAAUUGAAGCCCUAAUUAUGGUGCACAAAGAGCAAAAACUCUUUUGUAAGUAGCUCUAGCACUUGGAAUUUGUGCAAUUAAUUGUAGCGCUCACAUCUUCUUUCCCUAGUACUUUAUUUCUUAAAGAAAUUUGGAAGUCUAGAAUCGGAAGGACCUUCAAAAGUCAUCCAUUUUAAUCUCAUGUAAUGGCCAGGAACCACCCAACAUCUUUAAACGGAUUAAGCUGCUCCUAUAAUGACAUAUAAUCAAAUUAAAUGAUAGUAUCCUGAAACUGAAGAGUUGCAGGGACAGGUUGAAGCCCCUGCAGCAAAUGUGUUUGUAGAAAAAAGGGGGGAAAGUAAGAAAAACAUAGGCUGUGUACAUGCUAUACCUUUAAAGCACAUUUGAAGCAUCUUCUUUCCCUCAGAGAUUUCUGGGCACAGUAGCUUACCCCUCACAGAGUUACAAUUCCCAGCAUCUGACAACUACAGUGCCCAGAAUUCUUUGAGGGGGGGAAUGUGUUUCAAAUGUCCUUCAAAAGUAUAGUGUGUAUGCAGCCUUAGCUAACAAACAGUUAAGCAUGAUAUUUUUCCACCAGCCAUUCUGGAAAAGACAGAAAAAGGGGAGGCGGGGCAGAAGGGACUUUUUUUUUAUAAUGAGUCGUACCAAUGGUCCACCUAGCCCAUUAAGAGCAAUAAGACCUGCACCAGCAGUUAGUACUACCAGAUCUCUGGAGAAGAGACUUAUCAUCAUUAUGGCAAUUUGUCCCCCUCAACAUUUGCCUUUUGCUGCUGUCAGUCUCCUCUGGAUGAGAUACGGGGGAGCCAGCUGUAUGUUAUCCAGCCUGUAUGUCAGCCAUAUGUCAUCUACCCCUCAUCCCUGAACUGUAUUUGGAGUGCAGCAAUACAAGUUCCAGAAACUUUCUUGUUGAUUAACUCUUACUUUGCUUCUGUUUGCCAAAUGGUUGAUUCUUGACAUUUUUUAAAUUUACUGGCCUGUAAUUUGUAUGUUUGAAUUGCUAACGCUCUGUAUUUUGAUGCUUGGAAUGUUUGCUGUAAGCUGCUUUGGGCACAGCUCAUUGUAGAAAAGUGGAAUAUAAGUAAACUCUAUCAAUUAAUGUUAACAGCUCUUCGGAAUCUCGGGAAUCUUUUUUCUAGUUCCUCUGAAAAUUUUUCUUACUGGGACAACAAUCCCCAAACUGGUGCCCUCCUGUCAAUUGGCCAUACUGGAUAGGACUGAUUGAGCUAUGAAUUAAAAACAUAUGGAGGCACCAGGUUGACAAAAGCUGAACUAGACAUUCUGGAAGAUCACGCACUUGAAAUUUGUGCUGUGCAUUACUAAGUUCCUGCCUGUCCACCACUCUGAUUCUUUCUACUAAUGACCACAAAGACUUUGCAAUCUUUGUCUCACUGAGCUUAAAAAAUGACUUUCAUACGGGUUCACAGUAUAGAGCUGUGAACAGGGGAAGCAGCUUUCGUUAUCUGGAGCUGAAGACACUUAAAAGACAUUUGCAUUUUUAAAAUAUAAUUAAACCUGAUUUUUUAAAAUGUAGAACAGGGAAAACAUUUCGCAACAGCCAAAUGGCCUGAGGUCCCUGAUAUCUGCCAAACAUAAUUUCUUGAUUGACAGAGGAUUUGAGGAUAGAUGAAGGCAUUUGAAAUAGCCACAAAAUAUUCAGCAUCCACUUACAAAGCUCUCCUCUCUGCUCAUAUAAUAUGGGGUAUUCUCCAUGAAGUAUGAAACUGCAGUCCAGGUACUAAUUCAGAGAUUUCAAGGCUUCACACUUUGCAUGUCCAUCAUUCUGAACAAGAGCAGUUCUGCUUAAACUAGGCUUCCAAACAACAUUGCCACAUCAGCUAUACACUUUUUUUGGGGGGGGAGAAGGAAUUUUGCAGUGGUGAACACUCCUAAUCUGCAUCGUGAAGGACAGCACACAAAUGUCUCUGCAUGUUCCAACGUGAGGCCAUUGAAAGGAGUUUCCGCAAGGUGACCAUAAAGCAUAAACUGAUCUGAUUUCAUGCACUUGGUUUUCUCUAAUGGUGAAUUCUUCAUGGAAGUCAUUUGCGGUCUCUGUGGGAUUGUCUAUUGUUUUUAUGCACCUUUAACUCAGCCAUGUAUGCAUUAUCCUGGAAGCAUGUGGGUGUGCUAUGCGAACCAAAACACAUAUGAAUGCUAUGACUAAAGAGGUAUAUUUCUUUCUCCUCUUUUAUCAUGGCAGUUGCAUGUACUAAUGUACAGAAGUCUAUUUUCAUAUACCAGACGGUUGUUAAGCCACUUAUAAUACUAUGAAGACAGGAGUAUUAUAUGUGAUUACAGCCACUUAGCUGCCCCCUAAAGAAAGUUCUGAAUGCUAAGUACAUUUCAGUUGCUAAAGACAGGAUGAGCACAGAGUGUACAAUGGAUGACUAUUUGAAUGCAACCAUUGUAAACAGCUAUCAUGGUUUACCAGAUGUACAGUACCUAUCCCUUUAUUAGUUUUAUGAUUAUAGUCAGCAAUAUUCAUUACCAUAAAACUAGCUAUAAAUAUGUAUUUAGAGAGUACAUUAUAAACCAAUAGGUUUCUUAAUGGUUCCCAUGCACUAUAAAACAAAUAGUGUAAAAAUGCAGGAACACAAUAUGAUGUUAUAAUUUUGUUGUUUUUAAAACAAAGAGAAAGAUGUGUGAAUUAUUUCUCAUGUGCUGUCUUGAGGAAAAUGGGAGGUGUGUCAAAAGGAAAAUCAGAAUGGACAAGAUGGCUGAUUACUGAUUUUAGCCUUUACUGUGAAGGGUUGACAAACUUGUCAUUACCAAUAUCAGUUUUCCGUAUAAAACAUUUGCAAGUGAUUCUAUGAAGGCUGCUCAUAAGGCUUACUUCUUGCAGACAUCUGCACCAAGGCAUGGAUAUCCAUUCAGGGACACACAUGAGAAGCAGCAAGUAGAAAACCGACCUGUGAAUCAAGAAGUUCCUUCUUCAAAUCUUGCUUCUGGCAUGAAUUCGUAGGUCACUGCAGGCAAACCACUCCCUGUCAGGCCAGAGUUAUCCACUACCAUCCAUCUGCAAUAUGGGAGAUAAUAAUACUGACUUAUCUUACAAGUUGUUUGUAAGGACUACUGCUAGAUAAUGCAUGUGAAAUGCUUUGAACACUUGGAAGUGCUGUACAACUGUGAACUCUAAUUAGAAUAGGGUCACUAAUUGGAAAGAAUAUUUCAUCACCUUAUAUGAACAGCUGAC
This is a non-coding RNA of Podarcis lilfordi (Lilford's wall lizard), 3520 nucleotides long. Lineage: Eukaryota; Metazoa; Chordata; Lepidosauria; Squamata; Lacertidae. The record is from the annotation of a GenBank genome assembly.